RNAcentral lists this ribosomal RNA (500 nucleotides) under uncultured bacterium. RNAcentral's name for it is "partial 16S ribosomal RNA". It matches the Rfam family "Bacterial small subunit ribosomal RNA", at positions 30 to 523 of the family's 1533-position model. The record is from RNAcentral.
AUUGAACGCUGGCGGAAUGCUUUACACAUGCAAGUCGAACGAUGAACCUUAGCUUGCUAAGGGAAUUAGUGGCGAACGGGUGAGUAAUGUAUCGGAACGUAUCCAAUAAUGGGGGAUAACUAGUCGAAAGAUUAGCUAAUACCGCAUACGUCCUACGGGAGAAAGCUAGGGACCUUCGGGCCUGGCGUUAAUGGAGCGGCCGAUAUCUGAUUAGCUAGUUGGUGGGGUAAAGGCUCACCAAGGCGACGAUCAGUAGCUGGUGUGAGAGGACGACCAGCCACACUGGAACGGAAACACGGUCCAGACUCCUACGGGAGGCAGCAGUGGGGAAUUUUGGACAAUGGGCGAAAGCCUGAUCCAGCCAUUCCGCGGGAGUGAAGAAGGCCUUCGGGUUGUAAAGCUCUUUCGAAAGGGAAGAAAACUUAAGCUCUAACAUAGCUUGAGGUUGACGGUACCUUGAUAAGAAGCACCGGCUAACUACGUGCCAGCCGCCGCCGUAA